This 1027-nucleotide long non-coding RNA is filed under the name Homo sapiens (human). RNAcentral describes it as "non-protein coding lnc-CDYL-22:1". The record is from RNAcentral. Lineage: Eukaryota; Metazoa; Chordata; Mammalia; Primates; Hominidae.
AAUUAAAAAAAACCCUACUAAUUUCCUAGAUCACAAUAUGGCAGCUAGAUGUUUUAUAAAUAACAGCUACUAAUAACAUGUUAAGAUGUAAAAGGCUUAAAGCAUUGCUUCUUGGUCACCUCAUAUUUAAUGUAAUUGUCACCAGACAGUUGCUUUGUGUGUGGUAGCAGUGGCCCAAGACUGAAACAUCACGGAUGUACCUCUCCUUUGUCGACAUUCCAAAACUCCACAAAGUGACUGGUGUGAUCCUGAUGGUCUACCAAUUGUAUUUGGAAGCACCGUGAAGCUUUUCCAGCAAACCAUUUAGUUUAAAAUGUUGCAUAUUUUGAAGAUGCAAAAUAAAUUCUAUCUAUGUAAAUAUCAGCUGAAAAAUGUAUUGAGAGAUAUAAACUGCCCUCUUCUCAAGAGAGACCCCACAGAGUCUUGCAGCUUUAAGUCCUCCUCUCUGGCUGCUGAUAACCCCUAGAUGUGGCGCCUCUUCCCUGAGCGGAGUAUCCAGAUGACUCUAGUACAAGGACUCACCCCUGACUUCUUCCCUUCUCACCCGCCAUGCAAUCCCACAGUAAGUCUUGUGGCCCUGCCUGCAGCACGCAUCCUGAUUGCAGCCUCUUCUUGCUCUCUGCGUUUCUACAGCCAGUUUCAGCCACCUUCGUCACUUACUGGCCUGCUGCCCAAGACUGCCUCCAAACCUUCUCCUUGCUGCCUCUCUUGCCCUCCCACAGUCCAUUCUCCACUCAGCAUCCAGAGUGAUCUCUUAAAAACAUGAAAAACAUAAUAUACCCCCACAGCCCCAUUUAGACCCUACCACUGGCUUCUCACUGUGAUGGAAUAAAAGCUUACACAUUGGCCUGAGCCUGCCUCUUCAGCCUCAUCUCCUUCCCUUGCUUAUUCACACUCUGUCUGUCAGAUUUUCUGGUCUCUAGAGCUGAAAGCAGUCUUAACUGACAAACAGAUAUUAGAUCAUAGAAUCUAGAGCACAGGGUAUGGAAGGAAAAGUGCAAGAUGGAAAAGCCAGAAAUGGUUAAAA